Molecule: non-coding RNA, 235 nt
Filed under: Candidatus Zhuqueibacterota
Lineage: Bacteria; Pseudomonadati
Description: Candidate division T-box sequence
Rfam family: T-box leader
About the family: Uncharged tRNA acts as the effector for transcription antitermination of genes in the T-box leader family.
Source: RNAcentral
GCAAAGGCAGCGACGGGGAGGAGUAGACGGUCCCCGCGAUGACAGAGAGCCGGCGGUUGGUGCGAGCCGGUAUCGCGGCCCGUUGAAGGUCGCCCUUGAGCCGCCGGGUCGAUCCGUUCGGCGAGCGGGGUAGGCUCGGCCGGUUGGCGCCCGUUAGUGAGCCAAUGAGGGGAUCGACAAAUGUCGAUCCCAAAGCUGGGUGGUACCACGAAGGCUUUGGCCUCUCGUCCCGAUG